GUGCAGGAGGAAAAGCAUGACCCCCCCACCCCCAUAUCCCCCACCAGUCCUGCAUUUAUAAUUCCAUGUUGAGUGGCAGGAUGGAAAAAAAAUUAGGGAAGUAGAGAGGGAGAAAAGUAGUAUCAUCCAUACAUUUGCUCUCACAGCUGUGAUUAGUUAAAGUCAGAGGCCCACCUCUAUGCCAUAUCAACCCCAGAGCCAGAUCGAGCUAGAGAGACAGAGAGGAAUAGAAAGGAACAGAAAGGAGGGGGUUGAGAAAGUCUUCCGCUUUGCUCUUAUCCAUCUUUUUUUCUUCUUCUUCUUUUAUUUCGACCACUCUCUUUCAUUUCAACCUAUAUCUUGGGAGCUACUCAGCCUGCCCAUCUCUGUUCUACAUCUCAUAGAUACCCACUCAGGCAGGUUUAAAUGAGAAUAAAAGAAAACGAGAGAGAGAGACAGACAGAGAGAGACAGACAGAGAGAGAGAGCGAGAGAGAGAGAGAGAGAGAGAGAGAGAGAGAGAGAGAGAGAGAGAGAGAGAGAGAGCUGGUCCUAUAAACAUAGCUACAUGAUGUGCUUGGCUUAUAGAGGCUACAUUUAAUCUCCACUGGUUCCCCCAGGCUUGGGUUGAGAGAGGGGGGAGAGAGCUGCCAGGGAUGAUGGGGAGGAGGGACGAAGGGAAGGGGGAAUGCCGACGUACUUCAGUGCACAGGCGCAAAUCAUUGACACUGUAUGGAGGUGGGGUGGGGGGAGAAAUUCCUACAAAACACUUCCUUCUUCCUUUUUGUCUUUUUUUUGGGGCAUGAUCUUUCAUCUUCAUCAUUCUGUCUUGGCUUCAAUUUCAGAUUCUCUCUGCGACUACAAUGACAUGCGUUUUUGUCAUCUGUUUUAGAGAACAGCGUGCACAUCCCUGCUUGCUCUUCACCUUUACGACGUGGACGGUUUCCCUUUUAAAAAUUCCUCCCUUCGAUGCAAGCUCAGCCCCCCUUUCUGGCCACUGCUAUCCUCAUUUAUCGCCCUCUCCUUGUCCAGAUACAGCCAGCCAUCAGGCAGACGCUAAUAUUAGACCGUCUUUGACAGUGCCGGCGGCCGGCGGCCAUCGCGCGCGCUUCGCGUGAACAUGCACAGCACACACAUGUGCAUGCACGCUGCAGCAUGAAAACAAAACAAUACAAAACAAAACAAAAAAUCCAGCAAGGACGCUGCAUCACAUCUAAACUCACACUGAAACUAAAGUCGUUGAAGAACCAUACAUGGGCUUGAUUUAGCCCAUCACACAUCAGCAUGUGUGUGUGUGUGUGUGUGUGUAGCUUGUUUUCCAAGUGGGGAAGACAGCAGGGCUGUGUGUCAAGAAGUGAUGUGAUUGACAGCUGUCAUGCCAAACAUACAAGAAUGAGAGACAACAGCUGGGAGUGUGUGGACAUCAGCCUGGAGUUCUGGUCUUGUUCAUGGAGAGAAUAUGAGAGAGAAGGAAAAUCCUUAAAUCCAUCCUUUAAAUACCUCAAUCUAUUACGCCAUCGUCUCAAAUCUCGUAAUUACCAUCUGCAAAGACAUACGACUGACAUUAACAUGACAUCACGAAACCACCAGACAGAAGAGCGGACAGAAUAUUGCUCCACUCCGGUCUGCGUUGGAUUAGUGCUUUGUGCUUGACGUUAGACAGCACAAUACCUUUGUGGACACCUAAAGUAAAUGCAUUCUCUCAAGAAUAAACAAUUACACGCAGACACACACUGAUGAUUUAACAAAGUAAGCAAGUCAGAGAGACAGAAAAAAGCAUUAAAGCACGCAGUAAUUUAACAUUAUAAUAAUAUCGAAUUAUAGAACCAAGACAAACUGUAGUGACUGCCAUUUCUGGUGUAUCAGAAUGCAUGGGCUGCAGUGUGAAUGUUACACCACUGGAGGGCAGUCUAUGGCUCUGUUAC
Ictalurus punctatus (channel catfish) is the source of this 1903-nucleotide long non-coding RNA. Lineage: Eukaryota; Metazoa; Chordata; Actinopteri; Siluriformes; Ictaluridae. The record is from Ensembl.